GUAUGUGGAAGGGUGGGAAGAGUUGAUGAACAUUUCUGAACAUUAUCCGAAGUGUAACCUAUAACUACAUACUUUGACUCGUUCUAUGAUUUGACAAUCAGGUCGUGUAAAGUGGAGGAACUGAGUAGGAACUGGCAAGACAUUCAUCAUGAGCAAGAAUUAACAUAUCUAAUGAAAGAAUGUACCAAACUGGUCAUAGGAAGAGAGCUCCAGGUCAUCUUGCCAAGGAAGAUGUUGCCCAGAACUGGCUGUAAGAAUGGAUACCUGUCAAGCUAACUCCAGAAUCUCAUCUGGAUCAAAUAUUACAGCAUAAGGCCAUUAUACAUGUGGAGUGUGUAACUAAUGAUCCUUAUGGUGAUUUUAGACUCAAAACAUGCCUGGAAACUUCUGUAUCAUUCAACAUAAUACUCAAAGAGGACUAUAAAGAACUCUUUAUCUGAAUGUGCACAGAAGAGAGCUGGACAACUUUGCUUUAAAAGGAUAGUUUUAUACAUCAUCUAUCUGAAAGGAAGCUCUUGCCUCUCUAAAUAUAUAUUAAUAA
Long non-coding RNA from Talpa occidentalis (Iberian mole), 541 nucleotides. RefSeq lists it as uncharacterized. The transcript is spliced from 5 exons. Lineage: Eukaryota; Metazoa; Chordata; Mammalia; Eulipotyphla; Talpidae. The record is from RefSeq and is a predicted model, not a curated record.